This 408-nucleotide unclassified non-coding RNA is filed under the name Melitaea cinxia (Glanville fritillary). RNAcentral's name for it is "misc RNA ENSMCXG00005006816.1". Lineage: Eukaryota; Metazoa; Arthropoda; Insecta; Lepidoptera; Nymphalidae. The record is from RNAcentral.
UUUGGUUUUUUGUAAUUUAAAUUUUUAACUGUGGUGAAAUUUCGACUACUGGACGACGACCAGUAUUAUAUAAUUAAACAACAUUGUUUACAUUGUUUUUGAAGGUGAAGAUAAAAUUCAAAUAUUAAAGUUAAAACACAAACUUAGUCGCAAUCGGAAAUGUGGGUAAUUUUAAAAUUACAAUCGCGGAAAUUUUCUUAAAGUAUAAACGUGAAAAAUUAUUAUAUUAAUUUUAUAUAUUAUUUAUUUAUAAUUUAUUGUAAACCACUACCUUUUACACAUCAAGCAUAUUUUAAGAUAGUCAUAGACAGUAACAACCUAAGUAAAGUAAGGAUAAAUUUAUGUUUAGCUCGAGAGAGGGUAGGUGGUGCAGUUAUAUAAUAAACUUGCAUGCAAAUAUAUACAUAA